RNAcentral lists this transfer RNA (72 nucleotides) under Camelus bactrianus (Bactrian camel). It matches the Rfam family "tRNA". Rfam says of the family: Transfer RNA (tRNA) molecules are approximately 80 nucleotides in length. Their secondary structure includes four short double-helical elements and three loops (D, anti-codon, and T loops). Further hydrogen bonds mediate the characteristic L-shaped molecular structure. tRNAs have two regions of fundamental functional importance: the anti-codon, which is responsible for specific mRNA codon recognition, and the 3' end, to which the tRNAs corresponding amino acid is attached (by aminoacyl-tRNA synthetases). tRNAs cope with the degeneracy of the genetic code in two manners: having more than one tRNA (with a specific anti-codon) for a particular amino acid; and 'wobble' base-pairing, i.e. permitting non-standard base-pairing at the 3rd anti-codon position. The record is from Rfam by way of RNAcentral. RNAcentral also lists the same sequence under 2 other names. Lineage: Eukaryota; Metazoa; Chordata; Mammalia; Artiodactyla; Camelidae.
GAGGGUGCAGCUCAGUGGUAGAGCGUGUGCUUAGCAUGCAUGACGUCCUGGGUUCAAUCCCCAGCACCUCCA